CUGUUUUAGUGGUGCUCAUUAGCUGGGAAAGGCAAACCUAACUGGAAUUCCUCUGUAGUCACCAUGAGAUCAGAUGGGUCACAUGAAGAUCUGAGGGAACAGCGUGGAGUUGCAUGGAGGUCAGGUUUGGGAUUACGAAAAGCUUCUUCACCAGAGGAGGUCAGGCAGUGGAACAAGUGCCUGAGUGCAAGGAGCAUCUGGACAAUGGUCUCAAACGUAGGGUUUGAAAUUUGGGUGGUCCUGUACAGAGCCAGGGGUUGGACUCGAUGAUCCAUGUUGGUCCCCUCCAACGCGGGACAUUCUGUGAUUCCAUUGUUUGUUACUGGUGCUUUUUAGCACAUCCAUCUAUUCAUGGCCUCUUUUGUCUAGGUGAGGCAGAGAAGAGCAGAGUUAUUAUUUAUUUAGACAGAGUAGCUGUCUAAGUAAAGACUAAAAUAUCAGACAGAGAAAA
RNAcentral lists this long non-coding RNA (451 nucleotides) under Gallus gallus (chicken). Lineage: Eukaryota; Metazoa; Chordata; Aves; Galliformes; Phasianidae. The record is from RNAcentral.